This 107-nucleotide small nuclear RNA is filed under the name Sus scrofa (pig). Lineage: Eukaryota; Metazoa; Chordata; Mammalia; Artiodactyla; Suidae. The record is from RNAcentral.
GUGCUUGCUUCGGCAGCACAGGUACUAAAAUGGGAAUGAUACAGAGAAGAUUAGCAUGGCCCCUGCACAAGGAUGACAUGCAGAUUCAUGAAGCCUUCCAUAUUAAG